RNAcentral lists this ribosomal RNA (497 nucleotides) under uncultured bacterium. RNAcentral describes it as "partial 16S ribosomal RNA". It matches the Rfam family "Bacterial small subunit ribosomal RNA", at positions 28 to 523 of the family's 1533-position model. The record is from RNAcentral.
GAUGAACGCUGGCGGCGUGCCUAACACAUGCAAGUCGAGCGAGAUGUAUAUGGACGAAACUUCGGUCUAGGAAAUAUAUUGACAGCGGCGGACGGGUGAGUAACGCGUAGGCAACCUGCCCUUAACACAGGGAUAGCCUCGGGAAACCGGGAUUAAAACCUGAUAAUGCCAAAUAGUCACAUGGCUGUUUGGCCAAAGAUUUAUCGGUUAAGGAUGGGCCUGCGUCUGAUUAGUUUGUUGGUGGGGUAACGGCCUACCAAGACUACGAUCAGUAGCCGACCUGGGAGGGUGAUCGGCCACAUGGGAACUGAGACACGGUCCAAACUCCUACGGGAGGCAGCAGUGGGGAAUAUUGCACAAUGGGCGAAAGCCUGAUGCAGCAACGCCGCGUGAGCGAUGAAGGCCUUUGGGUCGUAAAGCUCUGUCCUUGGGGAAGAAAAAAAUGACGGUACCCAAGGAGGAAGCCCCGGCUAACUACGUGCCAGCCGCCGCUGUAA